RNAcentral lists this ribosomal RNA (233 nucleotides) under uncultured bacterium. Its description in RNAcentral is "partial 16S ribosomal RNA". It matches the Rfam family "Archaeal small subunit ribosomal RNA", at positions 745 to 978 of the family's 1478-position model. The record is from RNAcentral.
UCCUGGCUGUAAACAAUGCUCGCUAGGUAUUAGGGACCUCUCGGGGGUUCUUAGUGCCGAAGUGAAGGCGCUAAGCGAGCCGCCUGGGGAGUACGGUCGCAAGGCUGAAACUUAAAGGAAUUGGCGGGGGAGCACACAAGGGGUGGAGUCUGCGGUUCAAUUGGACUCAACGCCGGAAACCUUACCAGGGGCGACGGCAGAAUGAAGGUCAGUCUGAAGGGCUUACCUGACAC